This is a non-coding RNA of Triticum urartu, 124 nucleotides long. Lineage: Eukaryota; Viridiplantae; Streptophyta; Magnoliopsida; Poales; Poaceae. The record is from Rfam.
ACUCUCUUCUCUCCGUCCGGAAAUAUUUAUCCUAAAAAUGAAUAAAAUGGAUGUAUCUAUAACUAAAAUAAGUCUAGAUACAAUAAUUUUCAAGACAAGUAUUUCCGGACAGAGGGAAUACGUG